This 474-nucleotide ribosomal RNA is filed under the name uncultured organism. RNAcentral's name for it is "partial 16S ribosomal RNA". It matches the Rfam family "Bacterial small subunit ribosomal RNA", at positions 330 to 800 of the family's 1533-position model. The record is from RNAcentral.
CGUACACUCCUACGGGAGGCAGCAGUGAGGAAUAUUGGACAAUGGGUGGAAGCCUGAUCCAGCCAUCCCGCGUGCAGGAAGACGGCCCUAUGGGUUGUAAACUGCUUUUAUCUGGGGAUAAACCUACUUACGUGUAAGUAGCUGAAGGUACCAGAAGAAUAAGCACCGGCUAACUCCGUGCCAGCAGCCGCGGUAAUACGGAGGGUGCAAGCGUUAUCCGGAUUUAUUGGGUUUAAAGGGUCCGUAGGCGGACUGAUAAGUCAGUGGUGAAAUCCGACAGCUUAACUGUCGAACUGCCAUUGAUACUGUUAGUCUUGAGUAAGGUUGAAGUGGCUGGAAUAAGUAGUGUAGCGGUUAAAUGCAUAGAUAUUACUUAGAACACCAAUUGCGAAGGCAGGUCACUAAGUCGUAACUGACGCUGAUGGACGAAAGCGUGGGGAGCGAACAGGAUUAGAAACCCCUGUAGUCCCAUGA